This 325-nucleotide ribosomal RNA is filed under the name uncultured bacterium. RNAcentral describes it as "bacterial SSU rRNA". It matches the Rfam family "Bacterial small subunit ribosomal RNA", at positions 200 to 507 of the family's 1533-position model. The record is from RNAcentral.
AAGAAGGGGGGGAUCUUCGGACCUCUCGCUAAUAGAUGAGCCUAGGCCGGAUUAGCUAGUUGGUAGGGUAAAGGCCUACCAAGGCGACGAUCGGUAACUGGUCUGAGAGGAUGAUCAGUCACACUGGAACUGAGACACGGUCCAGACUCCUACGGGAGGCAGCAGUAGGGAAUAUUGGACAAUGGGGGCAACCCUGAUCCAGCGACGCCGCGUGUGUGAAGAAGGCCUGCGGGUUGUAAAGCACUUUUAGUGGGGAGGAAGGUCUGCGACCUAACACGUCGUGGAAUUGACUUAACCCACAGAAAAAGCACCGGCUAACUCUGUG